AUGGACCACUCGUACACUCCGGUUCUGAGCGCGCCGCCCGCACUCGCCUGACCGCCGCUCGCCACGUGUUGGUAGCC
This 77-nucleotide small RNA is filed under the name Xanthomonas arboricola pv. populi. Its description in RNAcentral is "sX9 sRNA". It matches the Rfam family "Xanthomonas sRNA sX9". The record is from RNAcentral. Lineage: Bacteria; Pseudomonadati; Pseudomonadota; Gammaproteobacteria; Lysobacterales; Lysobacteraceae. RNAcentral also lists the same sequence under 1 other name.